Molecule: ribosomal RNA, 253 nt
Filed under: uncultured bacterium
Lineage: Bacteria
Description: partial 16S ribosomal RNA
Rfam family: Bacterial small subunit ribosomal RNA
Source: RNAcentral
UACAGAGGUCUCAAGCGUUGUUCGGAUUCAUUGGGCGUAAAGGGUGCGUAGGCGGCGCGGUAAGUCGGGGGUGAAAUCUCGGAGCUUAACUCCGAAACUGCAUUCGAUACUGCCGUGCUUGAGGACUGGAGAGGAGACUGGAAUUUACGGUGUAGCGGUGAAAUGCGUAGAUAUCGUAAGGAAGACCAGUGGCGAAGGCGGGUCUCUGGACAGUUCCUGACGCUGGGGCACGAAGGUCAGGGGAGCAAACGGG